GAUUUUGUUCCAAUUAUGUUUAUUGUUCAGACUAAUUACUGCACAAGACGGGGUACUUUUCCCCAUGUCUAAAUGGCACACGCUUCCCAAGUAUACCCUUGCAGGUUUUUCUUUUCCAGGUACAGGCUUGGGACGGCUUUCUGCAGCCUCCGCUCUCCCCACACCCCCCUCCCCAUUAUAAUUAAAUGCUCCAGCCUUUUCUUCUCUCCCCCAUGCAACACCUUGUGAUGUGAGAAAGUGAUGGCAGCUUUCUUCCCUCGGAGCUCGAAGUAAUUGUAGAAGGGCUGAUGAAUUUCUUGAAGAAACACUUGCCACACACUGAGGAAACCAUCUCCUAGCAGGAUUUUACAAACCAAAGUAAACAAAGCACCCCAGGGGCGAUUUCCUCCUUUUGCGCAGCGUACUUCUCAAUUUACCUCAGAAGGGAUCACAAUCACACACAAGAGUUACAACAGAAAUCAUACUUGGUUUGGGAAACAUAUUCUGUACAAGAAGCAGAGAAAUUGAAAGUGUUCAAAGGAAGGGACAGUCAUUAAAAUACCUGCCAGGCGCGCUGCCAUUCCCUUAACUAACCUUCCUUCUUUCCCGUGAACUCAGAAAUAUCUUCAGCAUCUAUUUAAACACAGAUAUCCCGGGGGGAAUGGGGGAGGGGGGGUGGGGGGGGGAGUUGUGGGAAGAGGGAAGGGGAAAGAAACCAACCCACAUACCCCUCAGGUCCAUCUCACCAACACCUUUAAACACCCUCAUCCUCGGAAAAGGGGUGGGAAAUAAAGUUACUUGCCUAAUUUCACUCUUUGUUCUAUCGAAGAGAGUUUAUUGUGUAAAUGGACUUAUUUAUUUAUUCUUGAGUUUCUCUAUCCCUCAGCUGGGCUCUUGGAGAAAAUUUGCCUGAGAUCAUGUCAAUAAAAAAAUCACUUCUUACAGUUAAAGGGAAUAAUCACAUCGAUCAGACCCGGAUAAAAUAGGGGCGGGGGGCAUCAAAUGCCCAACACUGCUUACAGUUUGCUUUUUUCCUUUGGGUUCCAAACCGUUAGGAAAGGAUCACACACAUAUUUAUUGCUCCUUUUGUCUCCUUCUUUCUAGCAGGAUUCAAACCCCUGCGCGUGUGUGCGUGGUUCGGGGGGCUGUUGCUCUCUUUGGGAAGGGUGCGGCAUUCACAGGUGUGCUUUGGCUCCUCACUGUAACCCUGUACAAUUUCUCAAUUCUUCUGGAUGGUUUAAUCUAGGUGUGAGAGUAGAAAAGUGUUUAAAUUCUACUGGGGAAAUAAGCGGGGCCGGGGGAGGGAGGGGGAAGGGGGGAGGAAUUCCCUCUUUUGGCGAGUCAGAAAUAGCCCAAGCUUUCCAAACGGAUGUUAAAAUUGGACAUAAUGGAGCAACACCUCCUUUUUUUUUUUCUCCUUUCCUUUUUCUUUUUUCCCCCCCCUCUUCAGGUAUGAGUCUUGAAUCCUUUCAUUAAACUGACACAGAUUUCCAGAGAUGGAGAAAAGGAGGGGUAUCUGAGGUGGACAUUUUAUGUAAAUGAGCAAAUCCGAAAUGUAUUACAAAUCCACUGUAAUAAAACUGACAGUUUUGACAGUAUUGACAACAUAAAUAUAUGUUGGAACACAGCACUUUCAGACACUUAACCGAUGAAGCAAUAAAAAGAUUCGACUACAAUAUUUCAAAUAAUCGACAUUGAUGUUUUGAUACAUCAUUUUUAUACCUCGAAUCGAUCUAUCACUCUAUGACCGGUCAAUUUUAAGUAAAAAUCUGCUGCAAUUAUUUACGCUAUUGCCAAUGACGACCUAAUAACUGUUUUCAAUUAAUUACAGCAAAACUAAGCAUUAUGAGGGCUAACCGGCCACAUAUCCCAUUGUAUAGCAUUUCUUGUAUGGAGAGCAAACACAUAUAUGUGUAUUGCAUUCUCUUUGUGGGAUCAAAAGAAAGACAUACAAAGAAGAUCACAAUCUUGAGGGGGGUGGUAGUGGAAAUAAAAAGCAACCUCUUUUCGGGAACACACCGCCGGCUCUCACCAUGUACUUCUAGGAAACACGCUAUAAUAUUUUGUCAGCUCUCUCUCUGUGCAAUACCAAACCGGGCUCUCAGGAUUUUUUUUUUUUCCUUUUCUCUUUGGGCUCUGCACUGAAUCCCAAUUCAAACAAUGGGCCGAGCAGUACUUGGGGUAAAAAAAAAAAAAAAAAAAAAAAAAAA
Taeniopygia guttata (zebra finch) is the source of this 2189-nucleotide long non-coding RNA. Lineage: Eukaryota; Metazoa; Chordata; Aves; Passeriformes; Estrildidae. The record is from Ensembl.